GACGAACGCUGGCGGCGUGCUUAACACAUGCAAGUCGAACGGAAAGGCCCUGCUUUUGUUGGGUUCUCGUGUGGCGAACGGGUGUGUAACACGUGUGUAUCCUGCCCUUGUCUUUGGGAUAACUUCAGGAAACUUGGGCUCAUACCCGAUAGGAUCUCCUGCUGCAUGGUGUGGUUUGGUAAGUUUCGGCGGUUGGGGAUGGUCUCGCGGCUUCUCAGCUUGUUGGUGGGGUAGUGGCUUACCAAGGCUUUGACGGGUAGCCGGCCUGAGAGGGUGACCGGCGACAAUGGGACUGAGAUACGGCCCAGACUCCAACGGGAGGCAGCAGUGGGGAAUAUUGCACAAUGGGCGGAAGCCUGAUGAAGAAACGCCGCGUGCGGGAUGACGGCCUUCGGGUUGUAAACAGAUUUCGAAUGUGACGAAGCGAGAGUGACGGUAAUGGGUAAAGAAGCACCGGCUAACUACGUG
Molecule: ribosomal RNA, 468 nt
Filed under: uncultured bacterium
Lineage: Bacteria
Description: partial 16S ribosomal RNA
Rfam family: Bacterial small subunit ribosomal RNA
Source: RNAcentral